GAAAGAGGUUUUUCCGCACCGCUGGAAUGCUGUUAGGCCGUAGCGGGCGCAAACUCGUGGAGCGAGUCGUGUUUGCGAGGGUCUGCGCUGGAUGGAACCGCCGUCGUCUCAAGCGUGGGUGAGGGAGGAAGGCAGGCACCCUGUCCUUUAUAUGCAUUUAUUAGGCCGAAAAACCACGGGAGGGUGCCGCUCUUCCAGGGUGCGAGGCCGAGGAUGUUCGCGCAGCCCCCGCCAGCCGCCCCCCGACGCGGGGCCAGCCGAAUCCCGGCCGCGUUGCCACAACCGGGGAGAGCCCUCAUGGGGCUCGUGAGACGCGAGGGCGGCAGGUUUGCUCUUUCCAGAGCACUUAGCGGGUCGGCUUGUUUUCCCCGGUGCCGAGCCUCGCUUAGCGAAAGGCCCUAAAGACAAAUACGGCUAAUUAUAUCCUCAACGACUCCAGCAUCUCAGUCUGCAGCUCCAGCGUCUUGGUCUUUGCAUCUUCUGCACCUCCAGCAUCUCAGUUUCUGCAUCUUCUGCACCUGCGGCAGCUCAGUCUCUGCAUCUGUUGUAGCUCCAGCAUCUAGCUCAGCAUCUCUGCACCAGUGGCUGCUGUGUCCCGCAGGAAAGGGCUCUGCCUUGAACUGCUCCACGUGUCCCCGCGGCGCUGGGCGAGGAGCGGCCGCACGCCUUCGCAGAGCAUCGCGGUGGCAGCACGAGGUACACGGCUGUGAGCCGAAGAGCGGUGAGAGCAACCUGACCCACCUGGGCGGCAGCAGCGGGGUCCUGCCAGCGUCUGCCUGCCCUCCCCACUGCCCACCCCCCGGCCUCAUCCCUCACCGGGCUCCAGGAGGAGGAUUUUGCCUGCGCGGAGGUCGCUGUCAUUGCGCCAGUGCCCGCGGGGGACGUGGCAGCAGGAUGCCCCAGCGAGGGGUGCCCACGGGGAGGCUGGGCUCUCCCUGCCGGCACCUUCCCCUCCUCUUCCCCGGGGUCGGGAAGGGGCUGGGAUCACUGGGUGCGAUCCUGCACCGGCCUGCCCGGCCAGGCUGGGCAGAGGCACGCCAUACUGUAGGGCUGAGCUUCUGAAAGCUGGGGGACCCCAAACUGCCCGGCUGCCUUGGGUCUGGACCAGGGUGGAUGACUCUCUAAUCCACCAAGCUUUAAGAAAGAUCUUUAUUUAUUGUGUUUGUGCGGCUGCUGAGCAGGCUAAACGCUUAUUACAGCAAGGAUGGGCUGUGCGAGGGGAGAGUGUAUCACUGCGGUGCAUGCUAAAGCACAGUAAAUACUGCCCUUCUGUGCUCUUCUCCCACUCCUUUUAUUAUCUCCUUUUAAUGUGUUUAUGGUUUUUAUUUCAGUGGAUCAGCUGUCUUUUAAUGGCUGUUGUUCUUUUCUGUACUUGGACAUGAGAAGAGCUGUUUUGGUUUUAGUUACUCAUGCUUGGUAAAAACUUUAGUGGUUAAAUUGUCAGGAAAAUCGUAACACCGAAUAUCCUGACACUGCCGGGGAGGCUGGAGAGCUGGGAAGGCUCCUCCAGUGCCAGAACGCUCCAGAUAGGGAUGGAACAUGGAGGAGGGAAAGCAAAUGCAGUGAUAAGGGGUCUGGGCAUAAAACACUGAUACCAGGCACUACAGCAUUUGAAGUGCAGGAGAGAGAAACCCAGACCUUUUCCAGCUCCAUUUUGCAACAACGUGUUUAUUGGGUAUGCUUAAAAAAAAAAUCAAAAAGAGAAAAGAGCAAACCAAAGAACUGCAUAGACGUCCCUAUCGCAUGCUCUACGCCAAGGUACAAAACCAAAACUACUUUGGACACUGGAUCAGUUGUUGUAACUGUAGCCGCGCCAGGAGGUUGUACGUGCAAGUGCUUGGGGCGAGGUGACACAGGACCCACAUGAGACCCGGGAGAGCGGCACCGGCGGGUGCGAUGCAGCUGCACAGAUGCCCGCAUCUGCCUUCUGAUGCAUGCAGCCAAAGACCUGUUGUUCAUCCGCCUUUCCUAGUACGCGAGGAGCCGCCUGCCUGCAACGUGCCG
Aquila chrysaetos chrysaetos is the source of this 2004-nucleotide long non-coding RNA. NCBI's taxonomy places the organism in Eukaryota, Metazoa, Chordata, Aves, Accipitriformes, Accipitridae. The record is from Ensembl.